UGCUAUCUGCGAAUGUAUAAGAUUCGAACCUGCAGCAGGUUCGAGUCGAACGAAGUGAGACAACGGAGCCGCUUGCGGCGACGACCCGAAGGGUGAGGCGAAGCCGAAUCAUCCUGCACGACCCACCA
RNAcentral lists this small RNA (128 nucleotides) under Phytobacter ursingii. RNAcentral describes it as "RtT sRNA". It matches the Rfam family "RtT RNA". From Rfam's summary of the family: This family represents a bacterial cis-regulatory element known as RtT RNA. The exact function of RtT is unknown although it is thought that it may be involved in changing the cellular response in relation to amino acid starvation. RNAcentral also lists the same sequence under 1 other name. Lineage: Bacteria; Pseudomonadati; Pseudomonadota; Gammaproteobacteria; Enterobacterales; Enterobacteriaceae. The record is from RNAcentral.